AUUGAACGCUGGCGGCAUGCCUUACACAUGCAAGUCGAACGGCAGCAUAGAAGAGCUUGCUCUUCUGAUGGCGAGUGGCGAAACGGGUGAGUAAAGCAUCGGAACGUACCGUGUAGUGGGGGAUAACGUAGCGAAAGUUACGCUAAUACCGCAUACGCACUGAGGUGGAAAGCAGGGGAUCGCAAGACCUUGCGCUAUACGAGCGGCCGAUGUCAGAUUAGCUAGUUGGUAGGGUAAAGGCCUACCAAGGCGACGAUCUGUAGCGGGUCUGAGAGGAUGAUCCGCCACACUGGGACUGAGACACGGCCCAGACUCCUACGGGAGGCAGCAGUGGGGAAUUUUGGACAAUGGGCGAAAGCCUGAUCCAGCCAUGCCGCGUGAGUGAAGAAGGCCUUCGGGUUGUAAAGCUCUUUCGGCUGGGAAGAAAUCGCACAGGCUAAUACUCUGUGUGGAUGACGGUACCAGCACAAGAAGCACCGGCUAACUACGUGCCAGCAGCCGCGGUAAUACGUAGGGUGCGAGCGUUAAUCGGAAUUACUGGGCGUAAAGCGUGCGCAGGCGGUUGUGCAAGACAGAUGUGAAAUCCCCGGGCUCAACCUGGGAACUGCAUUUGUGACUGCACGACUAGAGUACGGCAGAGGGGGGUAGAAUUCCACGUGUAGCAGUGAAAUGCGUAGAGAUGUGGAGGAAUACCGAUGGCGAAGGCAGCCCCCUGGGGCCGAUAC
RNAcentral lists this ribosomal RNA (725 nucleotides) under uncultured bacterium. RNAcentral's name for it is "bacterial SSU rRNA". It matches the Rfam family "Bacterial small subunit ribosomal RNA", at positions 28 to 740 of the family's 1533-position model. The record is from RNAcentral.